Molecule: transfer RNA, 68 nt
Filed under: Valleriola javanica
Lineage: Eukaryota; Metazoa; Arthropoda; Insecta; Hemiptera; Leptopodidae
Description: tRNA-Leu
Source: RNAcentral
ACUAUUUUGGCAGAAGUUUAUGCAAUAAAUUUAGGAUUUAUUUAUAUGAUUUAAUAUCAUAAAUAGUA